GCCAUAGCUCAGUGCUACAGCAUCUGCCUUGCAUGCAAAAGGUCCAAGGUUUAAUCCCUGGCAUCUCCA
Non-coding RNA from Podarcis lilfordi (Lilford's wall lizard), 69 nucleotides. The record is from the annotation of a GenBank genome assembly. Lineage: Eukaryota; Metazoa; Chordata; Lepidosauria; Squamata; Lacertidae.